UCGACACGGCAUUAGGGUUUGCCGGAAUACUUGCUGAACGGUCAACUUCGUCUCGGCAUAGGUUAUAGUUCAACGAAAUCUGGAGCUUUUGUUGUUGUCUACCGAAAUCGUCGGCUUCCCUGCUUCGCUUAUUGGUCUGAACCAUAGGGGAGAUGUGUUCGCUUCCGAAGUAGUUAACAGCAUCGACAUUACAACCAGCCGGCACUGCCAAUUGCAAAAUGCACGAAAACUAAU
This 234-nucleotide long non-coding RNA is filed under the name Linum usitatissimum (flax). Its description in RNAcentral is "long non-coding RNA (LUSI_LNC000458)". The record is from RNAcentral. Lineage: Eukaryota; Viridiplantae; Streptophyta; Magnoliopsida; Malpighiales; Linaceae.